GCGGAGGCACGGGAUCGCGGCAAGGGGAUCGCUUAGCUAGCUAGCAAGGAGCGGUACUUUGCCUAGGUGGUUACUCUUUCUUUUGUAGUUGAGAGAGUGAGAGAUUUUGUAUCCAUGUAUAGAGACCACCUGUGUAUCUACUUUUAGUACUUGUUAUGGGAUUCCUAUCGUAUUUACUUUAUGUUUUACUUAGUGGAUUUAUAGUUUCAUCCUUAUUUCUUGUUGUAGCUUUUAGACAUUCUUUAUGCUCUGAUACUCCUAGAUGUCUUUUAUUAUUGCUUUUAUUAUUGUUGUUGUUAGACGCCUUAUGCGUUUUAGACGCAUGGCGGGUCUGGGCACGUGCCGGGCGGGCUUCCGCUGGGUCCCGGGGCGUGACAGCUCUGCCCAACUUCCUACGCGUACGGGGACCGGUCUUCCCCGCCAGGGACCGAUCCCCGAAAGCAACACUCUCAGGACUUAGCCGAUUUUUCCUUCUUUUCGC
Molecule: long non-coding RNA, 481 nt
Filed under: Ananas comosus (pineapple)
Lineage: Eukaryota; Viridiplantae; Streptophyta; Magnoliopsida; Poales; Bromeliaceae
Description: long non-coding RNA (ACOM_LNC019924)
Source: RNAcentral